RNAcentral lists this long non-coding RNA (7051 nucleotides) under Homo sapiens (human). Its description in RNAcentral is "HSALNT0357753". The record is from RNAcentral. Lineage: Eukaryota; Metazoa; Chordata; Mammalia; Primates; Hominidae.
AUUCGGGCUGACAGCGGCAUUUAUGAGAGCAAAUGUCUGUCCCUGCGCAAUUUCUGUGGGGAUAGUUGCAGUCAGGUCUACAGGAUUUGCUUAAAAAUUUCCAAGACCUGGGUGUGUCUGACAGCCUGGACCUCAACCUCAAAAAGGAACUAGCUCCUCUCUGAUUUCCUUGGGACACCUGGGAGCAAGCACAGGAGCCCAUGGAGCCACGGAGAGUGUCACUUCAAGCGCCUCCUGGGAGCUCUUGCAGAUGCCAAGUGCUCUGCCCUUCCCCAUUACCUGUGAUUUCAAGUGGGCUUAGAGAUUCUCCAAGAUGUGAGAUGAAAGGCCAAGAAACUAAUUCCUCUGACUUCUUCAGAGAACCGCACAGUCUCUUGAGGAGUUAACCAGAAGAGUGACGGUUGUGCAUGGACGGCCCUGGUUCACAGUCCAGCUCUGCCAUCCCUAGCAUGAUACCUGGAUGAAGCCCUGUGGAUUCUACCUCUGGAUCAUCUCAUCCAAAAUGCCACCCGUCAGUUUCCACUGGUCCUCCUUGGUUCAAGGCGUCCUCAUCUUCACCCUCCACUGAAGCAACAACUCCUCACGGAUCUUCCUGCUUCCAAUCUUGCCUUUCUCUUUUCUCUCUUACCCAAACCCAUAGGCAUGUCCUCUUCAGAUCAUGAAUAAUAUUCCUAAAACACAAACAGGAUCAGAUUCCCCCCUUGUAAAAUUCCUUCAGUGGAUGUCUUCUAACUUCAAGGGAAAGGCUAGGACCCUUGGAUCUUCCAAAUCCAGACCAGGCUGACUGCUCUAGCCUUCUUCCAACAUCCACGACACCCAUUUUGCACCCAAUGCUCUAGGCACUGGGAGCUACUCACAGUUCCCCUGACCUGACAAACUGUUCAGACAUCCACACAUUUCCUAGUGCUGUCUGCACCUGCAUAAAUUGCCCUCUGCUUUCCUCAUGUCCCCUCUACUGUUAAAACCUGCUCAUCUCUUAUUACUCAGCUCCACUGUUCUCUUCUCGCUCUACAGAAAAGGUUCCAGGCUCCAGUUAUGACUCUCCUCUAUGUCCCAAUCAGAACACAUUCGGUUCCCAUUAGAGUCUCUAGGACAAUCUAAUCUUGCAUUACCUUUUCCUCUAUAGGACCACAGCUUGUUGAAGAAAAUGAACAGUCUCCCUGGUACCAUUUGUUUUUGUAUCCCCAGCAUCUAUGGCAUUGAGUACAUAGAAUCCUUGGGAUGACCAGCAAUUGAGCUGUGGGCAGAACAAGAACAAUCAGCAAAGGAGACUGAGAAGCACCAGCCAGAGAAGCAGGAGGAGAACCGGUAGAGAGACAGCUACUGCAGCCACCAAAGGGAGAAAUGUAGGCAUCUGGUUGGGUUGGGCUAGAUUUUUUAGGUCUGCAUGAGGCCUCAGGAUGACCCUGUGAGAGCACCCCAAGUCACCCAGGAGAGCCAGCAGAGCAUCUGUGUAUGACAUAUGACCCCCCUACCACCACCCUUGACUGUUCAAACUGGAGAAGGGCUGAAAACACGUGGGCAGCCAAGCACCUUUUAUGGGUUUCUGGAAGGUCAUCUCAGCCACAGCAUCAAGUACACCACGUGAUGCUCACUCACAGUAUGAGCCCCCAUGAGGAAAGCAAUGACCCCAACACUGAGAGCAUGGUAGGGUCCCAUCUGCUCCCACAUGGCAGACAGGCCCCGAGGAAUGAGCAUGACUGGGUCUGCCAACCAGAUGCAGAUGCAGGGUGGUAUGGUUGAAUCAGGCAGAUGGCUGUAGGAUCAAUUCUCCAUCUCACCAUUUUUUUGUUGGGUAAUUCUGAUUAAGUUAGUGAACUUCCUUAGCUUGCUUUGUACCAUGGAGACAAAACAUCCACCUCACACAAUUGCUAGAGCAUGCAGGCGAGGAAGGACUUGACAUCUAUUGUAGCUGAUAAUAAAGACACACUAGUGCUCUCUUCUUGUGCAUGUUCUUAGUCUUACAGAUGUAUGCUGAUUUUGAAUAUAAAACCUAUAUAGUUGAUGUUUACUUUUUGGAUAUCAUAAUGACCCUAGAGCCCACAGGAUAUAUGAUAUGAACAUUCAUUCCUUCAGCUAAUAUUUAUUGAGCAUCUGUGCUAAGUACUGGGAAGGCAAUAGUGAUUAUCCAAAGGUCACAUUUUCCUGUGUGUUGAAGGUGCUUCAUUGAGGAAGACAAAUGUGUGAGCUUCUAGGCAGGAGAAGUGACAUUCACAAAGACACAUACUGUGUAUAAUUGGAGGGUUAGAAGAUGGCAGAGAUGAGAGAUAGCAGGGAAGUUGCACAAGGGCCGGGGAAUGGACCACAGAGAGUGUUGAAUGCCACCCUCAAGAUAGCAGCCCCUGUGGGCCAUGGGCAGGACAGUGACAACUGACUGCUUCCCUUCCCUCUCUUUUUUUCUUUUUUUGUCUACUUUUAGUGUUUAAAAUUUCAAUUAAUUAAUGAAUCAAAGUUGGCAACAAAAGAUUUUGCUACAUUUGCCUGUCCCGAUUCUUGACAAUUCUCUCUGAGGAGGAGCACUGGGAUACUCGUACUGUCUGGCAUCUAUUAGGUAUUGUUUAAUAUCUGUUCAAAUGAACAAAAUGUACUUGUAUUGAGUUGAACCAAAGUGAAGCCCUUUGGGACAACUUUGGAGCAAUAGUGGAUUAUAUUAUUCUGGAUGACUUAUGAAAAAUAUUUACCCUUAAUCAGUCUUAGAUGAACUGAAAAUUAUUCAUAUUCAGUUCAGUUAAUGGUGGUUAUUUAGCUAAGUCUUGAUUACGUAUAACGGACAGGAGCUAGUCAACAGAUAACGACGUGGCCCUGGGUUCCCUCUGCCCUGGCCUGAACAUCCUUUUUAUGAAAGGACACUUUCCUGUUUGUACAGCAGCCAAAGACUCACAUGUGAAUUCUUUAUACACACUGCAAGCAAUCCAAGCAUCUGACUUCCAUUCUUCACUCACAGCUGGGAGCAAGUGCGAGAAAUCAGUGGAAAGCUGGAGGUUUGUUAACAGGGGGUUUAUUUUGGCACUCAGUUGCAAUUAAAUCCGGUGGGUUAAAAGCUUCUGAAUGUAUUACCCUCUUUUAAACAAGCCACUUUUAGAGUGUUUCCACAAUGAACAAUAUUCAUCACCAAUGUUAUAUAUGGCUGACUUUCACUCUCAAAUAAUACCUUCUUUCCUUGGAAGGAAAAACAACUUUCCCAUCCUUAUAAUUGAAUCCAAACAUCUGUCACCCACAAAGACAUGGUUUUAGAGGUUGAUUAAUGGAUAUCUGGCUCACGGAGUACACAGAACCACACUCAUUUGCAACAAAUUUACACCAACACCCACACACGCUUAGGCACAUACACCAAUACGCAUGCCCCAAAUGCGUUCCUCCAAAAAACAUGUUUCCAUUAUCAUUUCUUUUAAUACAAUUAAGACAACAAUAAAGAAAGAGAUGUAGGCAGAAUAGUAAAAAAGCAAUGACUAGGAGUCCAGAGACCUCAGGUCUGAUCAUGACCUUUGACGAGUAACAUAAUCUCUCCAGCUCUCAAUUUCCACACAUGAAAAAUAUGAAUGAUGAAACCACCUCCAUCAUUUAACGCUUAUAACCCACCCACGACCUGACAUGUUCAUGCAUUUGUGCCUUCGUGUGAGAGUUCCUCUGCCAACUGUGUUCCACGAGACCUUCAUCAUCUUUCAGAACUCAACAGAUAUACCACCUCCCCAAAGAAUCCCUCCCUGGUUCCCCCAAGCAGAAUCAGCAGCUCAUUCUCAAUCAUUCCAGAAACCUUGCAUGCAAUCAGUUUUGUUGCAGCUUUCAUUGCAUAGUACAGCAACCACCUCACCUAAACUAUUAACCCACAGAGAACAGAGCAGGUCUGAUUGUUUUCGUUUCCCUGGUGGAGAGAAAAGGAAUAGCACAUGAAGUUCUAAUAAAAAGUUGAAGGGAAAAAACAAUUGAAUGAGUCAUUACUUGAAUGACACAAUAUCCUCAUAUGGCAUAAGAAAAGCUCCCACCUGGCCUGCAGUCUCUUCCCCUCUGCAACACUGAGAUCUCGGUCUUGCUGAAAUCUGGUACUAGUCCCAUCAUGUUCUUGGCCCAUCACCUUCAGGAUACAGUCCAGAUUCCUCAUCAAGGCAACCUGUUUCUCUGUCUUCAUGACUGAGUUGCCACCUCUCCUGCUGCUCUCCUCCCAUCCCCCACCACCUGCUAUGUUCUAGGAUACUCAGCCAAGGUUCCUGACACACCAUGCUCUGUCUUACCUCUGGGUCUAUCCCUCUCUCCUACAAUCCCAUCCACCUUCCUCACUUAGCCAAUCCCUACCUGUCUCCCAGACUUACCUAAGAUGAUUUUUCCUCCAGGAAGCCUUCCAGGGUCCCAGAAUCCUCUUAUUCUCUGCCUGCCAGAAUGCCAUGGUUGUCUCUAAUAGGACCAUCUGUUUGAGGGUCUGUGGGCUCCUUGAAGACAGAAACUGGGAACUGCUCACCUCUAUCCCCUGCCCCAUGCCUGAUGCUGACUGGCCACUCAGUAAGCAUGUCUUGCUGUGAGUGGGUGGGCAGAUGAAUGAAGAGUCCAAGGUGAUCAGAAGAGGGUCAGAUUCUAUAGGGCAACUCUAAAGCAUGUGCAUGUCACACCACCAGCUGAGGGUUUCCUUCUUGCCCUUUGAGGAAGGUUAUUUUCUUCUAGACCUUAACCAGCUUCUGAGAAAAGCAUUCUUAAAAUCUCCCAUUGUAGCUAUUAGUUUUUCAAAUUCUCCUUGUAAUUCAUUGUAUGUGUCUGUGCACAUAUGCCUAUAUUUAUAUGGUUAUGUGUGCACAGACACAUACACAUAGUCACAUAUAUAUGUAUGUACUUAUAAGUACACAUUCAGUAAAUACACAUCGAAGCUGUGUUGCUAGGUGUCUGCAAGUUUUUGAUUAUCUUAACUCUGCAGUAGAGCCAGACUUUGCUUAGAUUAUUUCUUUUUAUCCCCUCCCCUCCCUCAGCACACACACUUUUAUUUUCAAACUUUGUGUUUAGUUUUAUUUGGUUAACUCUUUUGUAGGCAGCUUAUACUAAAAUUUUAAAAAUUGAAUUUGAUUGUGUUUUCUAGUGAGAUAAUGUAAUUCAUUUAGGUUUACUAUUAUUUCUGCUUUUUAAUGUGUUCCAUUUCUUGUGCUUUUUUCUUUUUUUGCUGCCUUUUUCUACUUUCUUUUCUUCCUUCUGCUGGAUUAAUAAUGCUAGAUGUCUUCCUUUUUCCUAUUAUUUGCUUUGGAAGUUGGAGAUUCUAUUACAAUUGGGUGGAAUGGAUUGUCCUCUAGGAUUUUCACUUUACAAAAUCACAUUUAUAUUUUCAAGCAGUAUCCAAAAUUAUUCAGUAUAUCUGUCUUCAUUCCAAAUAUGACACUGCUGUUAGCAUGCUUCAAAUGCCCUUCACACACCCCUGCUCCAUUAUCUGUGUUAUUGCUCUAUAACUUUAGUUCCAUAUUUAUUUUUUCUAUCAAGAAUUCAUUGCAUCUACCAACAUAGUUUACCAAUUUCUUUAAUCAUCAUUUCUUCUUUUAUUCUACUCCUCUGAAUUUAGUUUCCUUCUUGCUAAAAUUUAUCUUUUAAUAGUUCUUUCAGUGGAAGUAUAAACUCUCUUAUUCUUGUAUGUCUGAAAAUGCCCUUAAUUCAGAUACUCUGGAAUGACAGUUAACUGGGUGCAGAAUUUAGACUCACAGCUCCUUUGAAGAUGACUUUCCAUUUUCUCCUCACCCCUAUUGUGGCUGAUUGGAAGUCUGCUGUCAGUCUGGGUAUAAUUCUUUUCUAGAAGUCUUAGUCUGUUUAGGCUACUAUAACAAAAUCUUACAGGCUGGGUGGCUUAUAAACAACAGAAAUUUAUUUCUCACAGCUAUGGAGGCUGUGAAGUCCAAGAUCAAGGCUAUGGCAGAUUCAGUGUCUAGUAAAAGCCUGUUUCCAGGUUCAUAGAUGGCACCUUCUCACUGUGUUCUCAUGUAGUGUGUCAAGGAAUCUUUUUGGGGUUUACUUUAUAAAAGCAUUAUGGGCUGGGCAUGGUGACUCAUACCUAUAAUCUCAGCAUUUUGGGAGGCUGAGGCAGGCAGAUUACGUGUGGUCAGGAGUUUGAGACCAGCCUGGGUGACACGGUGAAACCCCAUCUCUACUACAAACAUAAAAAUUAGCCAGGCAUGGUGGCACUCACCUGUAAUCCCAGCUACUCAGGAGGCUGAGGCAUGAGAAUAACUUGAGCCUGGAAGGCAAAGGUUGCAGUGAGCCAAGAUCGUAUCACCAGUUGCCAUGAAGUGAAGUGUGUGAUUAACCUUGUAUACAAGGUCCCUCACUUGUUUUAUCUAUGUGUUUAUUUUAUUUUACCAUGAUUUAUUUAUCUCCCCUCUCCCACAGAAGAACCACUCCUGUGUAUUUAAUGUGUAUUAUUUUGUUCAUAUGUGAUAUUAAAACAUGUAUUGUUUUCUGAACAUGUAUUUUUAAUUUAUGGAAACAAUCAUAUGUUAUAUAUGUCACACUGUAUUUUGUAAGAGCCACACAUAUUGUUGUGUGCACAUCAAGUUCAUUACUUCCAAUUGCUGCAUAUUAAUGCUUGGUGUACUCCAACCAAGUGUUACCAAUUCAUUUCCCAGUGAUAGCAGCCAAUCUUCUCUAUCUCCUUGACACUACAGAUAAAUCCCACUUGUAUUUGUCCUCUUACUGGAUGGUGAACAUUUCUUUGAGAUAUCCCUAUUCCUACUUCUAUACAGAUAUCUAUCUAUCCAUCUCUCUCUCUCUGUCUCUGUCUCUGUCUCUCUCUCUGUAUCCAUCUAUGUCAUCUACCUAUCUCCAGGAACAUACCUAAAUUAACUAGUGCAAGAUUGCCUUUCAGAAUACUAAUAGCUUUUACUUCCACUAGCUAUGUGUGAGGUUCCUAUAUCCUUAUAUCCUAAUGAACAUUUGAUCCUAAUCAACAUUUGGCUUUAUCCAAUUUUUUUAAUAGUCUUUGCUUGCUAUAUAUCUCUGUGUGGAAUUAUGCAUAAAUUUUCCAAUGUUAUUUUCCAUUUUAUUAAUUGUGUCUUUUACUGUGUCCAGUUUAUUUUCAUCUCAUCUACUGAAC